RNAcentral lists this ribosomal RNA (442 nucleotides) under uncultured bacterium. Its description in RNAcentral is "partial 16S ribosomal RNA". It matches the Rfam family "Bacterial small subunit ribosomal RNA", at positions 338 to 795 of the family's 1533-position model. The record is from RNAcentral.
CCUACGGGCGGCAGCAGUGGGGAAUAUUGGGCAAUGGGCGAAAGCCUGACCCAGCAACGCCGCGUGAAGGAAGACGGCUUUCGGGUUGUAAACUGCUUUUAUAAGCGAGAAAUAUGAUGGUAACUUAUGAAUAAGGAUCGGCUAACUACGUGCCAGCAGCCGCGGUCAUACGUAGGAUCCGAGCAUUAUCCGGAGUGACUGGGUGUAAAGAGUUGCGUAGGUGGCAUAAUAAGUAGCUAGUGAAAUCUGGUGGCUCAACCAUUCAGACUAUUAGCUAAACUGGUAAGCUCGAGACCGUUAGGGGUAACUGGAAUUUCUAGUGUAGGAGUGAAAUCCGUAGAUAUUAGAAGGAACACCAAUAGCGUAGGCAGGUUGCUGGGACGGUUCUGACACUAAGGCACGAAAGCGUAGGGAGCAAACGGGAUUAGAUACCCCAGUAGUC